This 200-nucleotide ribosomal RNA is filed under the name uncultured bacterium. Its description in RNAcentral is "partial 16S ribosomal RNA". It matches the Rfam family "Bacterial small subunit ribosomal RNA", at positions 1301 to 1500 of the family's 1533-position model. The record is from RNAcentral.
UAGGCUGCAACUCGCCUACACGAAGUCGGAAUCGCUAGUAAUCGUAGGUCAGCAUACUACGGUGAAUACGUUCCCGGGCCUUGUACACACCGCCCGUCAAACCAUGAGAGUUGGCAACACCCGAAGUCGGUAGUCUAACCGCAAGGAGGACGCCGCCGAAGGUGGGGUUGAUGAUUAGGGUUAAGUCGUAACAAGGUAUC